Molecule: ribosomal RNA, 497 nt
Filed under: uncultured bacterium
Lineage: Bacteria
Description: partial 16S ribosomal RNA
Rfam family: Bacterial small subunit ribosomal RNA
Source: RNAcentral
GAUGAACGCUGGCGGCGUGCCUAAUACAUGCAAGUCGAGCGAACGGAUGAGAAGCUUGCUUCUCUGAUGUUAGCGGCGGACGGGUGAGUAACACGUGGAUAACCUACCUAUAAGACUGGGAUAACUUCGGGAAACCGGAGCUAAUACCGGAUAAUAUUUUGAACCGCAUGGUUCAAAAGUGAAAGACGGUCUUGCUGUCACUUAUAGAUGGAUCCGCGCUGCAUUAGCUAGUUGGUAAGGUAACGGCUUACCAAGGCAACGAUGCAUAGCCGACCUGAGAGGGUGAUCGGCCAUACUGGAACUGAGACACGGUCCAGACUCCUACGGGAGGCAGCAGUAGGGAAUCUUCCGCAAUGGGCGAAAGCCUGACGGAGCAACGCCGCGUGAGUGAUGAAGGUCUUCGGAUCGUAAAACUCUGUUAUUAGGGAAGAACAUAUGUGUAAGUAACUGUGCACAUCUUGACGGUACCUAAUCAGAAAGCCACGGCUAACUACGUG